GACGAACGCUGGCGGCGUGGAUUAGGCAUGCAAGUCGAACGGUAUCAUCCUUUCGGGGGUGAGAGAGUGGCGAACUGGUGAGUAACACGUAGGUUAUCUACCCUCAAGACGGGGACAACCCAGGGAAACUUGGGCUAAUACCGGAUGUGAGCAACUUUUUAGUUGUUUGAAAGGUGGCGUAAGCUGUCGCUUGGGGAUGAGCCUGCGUCCUAUUAGUUAGUUGGUGAGGUAACGGCUCACCUAGGGCAAUGAUAGGGUAGGCGGCCUUAACGGGGUGGUCGCCCACACUGGGAUUGAGAUACGGCCCAGACUCCUACGGGAGGCAGCAGUCGAGAAUAGUCUACAAUGGUCGGAAGACUGAUAGUGCGACGCCGGCGUGAACGAUGAAUCCCUUCGGGGUGUAAAGUUCUUUUAUAUGUGAGCAGUGCUUCUUAUAUUAACAGUAUGGGGAGAGAGAUAUUAGCAUAUGAAUAAGCAACGGCUAACUCCGUGCCAGCAGCCGCGGUAAA
This 509-nucleotide ribosomal RNA is filed under the name uncultured bacterium. RNAcentral's name for it is "bacterial SSU rRNA". It matches the Rfam family "Bacterial small subunit ribosomal RNA", at positions 28 to 524 of the family's 1533-position model. The record is from RNAcentral.